RNAcentral lists this ribosomal RNA (464 nucleotides) under Vreelandella stevensii. RNAcentral describes it as "partial 16S ribosomal RNA". It matches the Rfam family "Bacterial small subunit ribosomal RNA", at positions 338 to 794 of the family's 1533-position model. Lineage: Bacteria; Pseudomonadati; Pseudomonadota; Gammaproteobacteria; Oceanospirillales; Halomonadaceae. The record is from RNAcentral.
CCUACGGGCGGCAGCAGUGGGGAAUAUUGGACAAUGGGCGAAAGCCUGAUCCAGCCAUGCCGCGUGUGUGAAGAAGGCCUUCGGGUUGUAAAGCACUUUCAGUGGGGAAGAAAGCCUUGGGGCUAAUACCCUCGAGGAAGGACAUCACCCACAGAAGAAGCACCGGCUAACUCCGUGCCAGCAGCCGCGGUAAUACGGAGGGUGCGAGCGUUAAUCGGAAUUACUGGGCGUAAAGCGCGCGUAGGCGGUCUGAUAAGCCGGUUGUGAAAGCCCCGGGCUCAACCUGGGAACGGCAUCCGGAACUGUCAGGCUAGAGUGCAGGAGAGGAAGGUAGAAUUCCCGGUGUAGCGGUGAAAUGCGUAGAGAUCGGGAGGAAUACCAGUGGCGAAGGCGGCCUUCUGGACUGACACUGACGCUGAGGUGCGAAAGCGUGGGUAGCAAACAGGAUUAGAUACCCCUGUAGU